This 7165-nucleotide long non-coding RNA is filed under the name Prunus persica (peach). RNAcentral's name for it is "long non-coding RNA (PPER_LNC003734)". The record is from RNAcentral. Lineage: Eukaryota; Viridiplantae; Streptophyta; Magnoliopsida; Rosales; Rosaceae.
ACUAAAUGACGACAGACACAGACAGCCAAGGUGCUGGUGUUUAUGAUGGUGUGCAUUAGUGUAAUGGUUAACAAGAAACGUCGUCGUUAUGAAGUUUUUUUUUCUCUAAAAAUGUCUCAAAUCAGUGAGUGUUGUAAAUAAUUAGGUGUGGAGCCCACAUGUUCCUUAGGUUUUGCCUACAAAAGGGUUCAUCCCUUCAUUGUAAUUGAGAAACACAGAAAUAUGAAUACAGAAGAGGAACCAAUCCAAGUUUUCCUCUGAUUCUAAAUUCUCUCCAAUUCCUCUUAAUUUAUAACACGUUAUCAGCACGAAUUCGCUCAAACAAUAUCAGCUGAAUUAUCUGAUGAAAUCCAGAUCUCUCAUUCCAUCUCCCUCUCUCUCUGCGCCAAUCAGAGUCAACAAAUUUAAUUUCAAACACCCAAACCAGACUUUUACAACUCUAAGUUUCUGAGCUCUGCUGCUACUGCUUGGAGCAUCAGAGAUUUUUGCAAGGCCAGAAAUGACAAAGGGUUUACCAACGGCCUCGGCAUGCCCAUGGUAGCCAAAUCAGACCUCUCCCAACUAGCCCUUUCUUGCUUGGCACUCUCCAAACUCUCUCCACAGCGCCAAAGCCAUGGGUGUGAAGCCCAGGCAAGAAGACCCUCCACCAUCCUCUGCCAGUGUAGAAACAGUAGAAGAAAUAAUGAAACUCUACAAGUCCCCGCCGCCACCGCUUCCUCCUCGGCAUGACAGGCAGAAAAGUACUCCCCGACGGAAGCGGCGACACCAAGAACCUCAAGCUACUACACCUUUUCCGAUGACCUCCGGGGGCCGUAAUUACUGAAACAAUGGCUGCUAGCAUCGCACAGAUGAUCAACUCCAAAACCUCCUCCGUAGCAUCGCACAGAGAAAAAUCAUAUUUACGAAUUUGGAUCGGAAACACGUGGUGAAGGCGUUGGAUCGUCUGGGAGUGAGAGACUGCUUUGAGCAGAUCAUAUGCUUCGAGACGAUGAACCCGAACCUGCCGAGUUCGACUCGGCCUAACGAGUUUCCGGAGGAGCUGGCCAUCUUUGGCGAGUUCCCACAACUGGUGUGUGCUUGAACAUCAAUCCUAUAUCAGAAUCUAGUGCAUGCCAAUGGUGGGCCGCCGCCAUGGAGGAACGCCGUCACUCACGACGACCCUACCACGUCCUCCAGCCAGAACUGGAUUCUGUAGGACGUCAUCGAGGCCGAGGUCCACCAUUGAUCCACGAUCGGAUCCGUUCAAGAUCUCACCGAAUUCGGAUACAAUACAAAGCCGAAAGAGAAAGAAAGAGCUCUCUCUUUCUCUCUCUCUCUCUCUCUCUCUCUUUCUCUCUCUCUCUCUCUGUCUGCAGGUUUGAAAAGUGAGGGGAAAAGAGAGAGGUGGAAUCUGAGAAAGCGGGCACGCGUGCUGCUUUUGUUUUGUCGUUUUGUAGUGAUGGAAAGUUUGGGGCUUUGAGUUUUUGAGUUGGCUAGCUGGGUACUUUCCUUCCUUUGGUGAAUUAGACGGGUGAGCUUUGGUUGAAGGGUCCCACCAUCAUGAAAGUGAAAGAAGAACAAAAACAAAGGUCCUCUGCUUCCUUAUCUUUCAAUUACUUUAGUAUUAUCCUAUACUAUUUAACUUGCUCUACAGGUGGAAAGGCAGUAGCAAGCUUGAUAUCCAUCUUUUUUUUUUUUGCACAUUUUAUACUAUAUAACUAAUAUAUCAGUAUAACAAUAUUACACUAUUUGAUCGUGGUGUUGAUAAGAACCCACAAAUAAUUGCCUUUACUUUUAUUUAAAUGUAUGGAGCAGAAUUAGUGCCCAUACAUUUAUUAUAUUUACUGUAUGGUGUAGGUUUAUUACCCAUACAGCAGUAUUUAUUUAAAAGGGUGGUGCGGAUUUAUCGUCCACGCCUUUACUUUUAUUUAAAUGUAUGGAGCAGAAUUAGUGCCCAUACAAGCACCUUUACUUUAUCGCAAAUUUACUUUUACUUAAAGUAUGAUGUGAAAUUAACCCUCAUACUUUAUGAAUUUACUUUACCGCACAUUUAAUUUUAUUUAAGAUAUGGUGCGGAAUUAACUUCCAUAUAGCAAGUAAUUUAUUUUAUCUCACAUUUACUUUUACUUAAAGUAUGAUGAGGAAUUAACCCUCAUACUUUAUGAAUUUACUUUACCGCACAUUUACUUUUACUUAAAGUAUGAUGAGGAAUUAACCCUCAUACUUUAUGAAUUUACUUUACCGCACAUUUACAUUUAUUUAAAGUAUGGUGCGGGUUUAUCGUCCAUACCAGUAAUUUAUUUAUCAGCAAUUUAUUUUAUGGAUUAAUUGUGCUGUAUGAUGAGUUUUUACAGUAUACAGAUUAGGACCAGAAGUUCCUUGAUCCUCAUCAUACAAUUACAUCAGGACUUGAAGAUCCUUGAUGAUGAUGUUAAUAUAAGAGCUGGCAGUCUCUCCGGUACUAUAUUUGUAAACAUAUGAUUGGACUUGAGGGUCCUUGAUCCCUGACAUGUAAAUAAGGACCUGGGGUUCCUUAAUGAUGUAACAGUACUGUAUUGUUUCAUAAUGCCGUACACAUGGAUGAUAACUGUACUGGCAAAUGUACUGUCCACAUGAAUAGAUACGUAUUCAUGACUUGAUGAAUAGUACCGGAUAUAUGAAUAGUGACGUAUACAUAAAUAUUAACCAUUUUGGGUAAACCAUCACUAUAUUCAAAAAGGGAACCUGCAGUCCCUUAAACUCAUGAAUGAGCAAUUAAAUGAGAUGCCAGAAGUUCCUCAAGAUAUGGACAAUUAUGUAAGGACUUGAAGUCCAGAAACAUGUACAGAAAAUUGUAAAAAUGUCCAUACCAUGAGAAUAUGUGAUUUUGGCUUGAGGUUCAAAAUCUAACAGUGUUGAGAACCUGAAGUUCCAACAAUUAAAUGGACAACUCUUGAGGUAUUAUUGCAAAUAGUGGUACGCCACAUAUUUCUUUGGCAUAAGAAAAUGAUGAAUUUAAUAAAAUUCGAUUCUGUUAUAAUCGACACCUCAAGUAAGAAAUAUAUUUUGUGAAUUCCGGUUGUUAAGAAUACACCGUGAAAUGGAUAAUAUCAAUAUAAAUCUCAAAUGAUGAAUUGAGGCUCCCCACAUAUUUUGAUAUAUCUGGGGCGGAAGCACAUGGAUUCAAAUAUAUGAGAAAUCCCGAAUUUGAGAUUGUGGGUAUAUAGUAGUUAAUGCUCUUCACUACUAUAUUGCGAUAUUAUCGUAGCUUUUACUCAAUUCAUAUUUCAUGUCCAUUUGAAAAGGGUGAAUAAAUUCUGAUAUUUGUGUUUAGCUCAGGCCAAAAGUUCCAUACGUUGAAAUAUGAAAUUUGGGAGAGUCGAUGUGGUUAUUUGAACCUAUAAGGCACAAGGUUCCAAACCGUCAUUUUGAAAAGACGUAAAAACCACAGGUGCAAGUUUAAGAAUAUGCGCAAUUAUUAUAACAGGAACAUACAACAGAUAGAUUUUUUCCACCUGCAAUGAAGGUGCAGGCCCUGUAAAAUCUAUAAAAUUACAUUAUGUUCUGGAAGCCUCUGAAGGAAGAGGACGACGCCUCUUAAGCUUAGCCACGAGCCUCUCGUGGUCUCCCAAAAUUCUUUCAUUGGAGACCUGCAGCAUGUCUAGCCUUCUCAGUGUAUCAACAGAAUACGAACUCACCAGUUUCAACAAGGCAUUAUUCUCUUCUUUAAGUUUCUCAACCUCCUGUUGAGACUCAUGAAGCAUUCUUUGGAGAGACGAAUUUUCAGUUGUUAAAAUCUGAACCUCGUUUGCUCUAGCACGCAAACGAUCAGCCAUGUUAGAAACAGAAGCAGCACUCUGAAUGCUAAAAGCCAUUGAGUCAUCAAUAGCCUAUUCCUCUGAUCUCCCUGUUAACAGCAUUUCAUCCAUUGGAGUAAUGAAAUUCCUAGCUACUAUGACAGCAGUAGCAUCAUUCAUCAUCAUAGAAUCAUUAACUGUGAGAUGACGAUUUUUGGAUACAAAGGAUGGACGCCAGACUUUUGCAUCACUGGCUGUUGUGGGAGUAUCAUUUAAAUUGAAAUAAUUUAGGCAUGAAGAAGAGGAAGCCAUUUUAAGAAGGUUUCGAAGAAAGUCUUAAGAAAACUAAAGUUUCAGAAAAUGAAGGAAGUUGAGUUGAAACGCAGUUGCUCCAAUCAAGUUUUGCAAAGGCAAUAUCUAUAGGAGGAAAUAUGGCUACAGUUUUUUCAGGAUCCCAACUUUUCGGAUCCCCAUAUUCUCUUUUUCUUUCCCAGAUUCCAAAACUUCACGUGGCCUCCAUUAAUGUUUGUCGGCACUUUCGGCGUUUUCAAAAUAUUAUUUUCGUCAAAAGCCGAUCUUGCUUUACGGAUUUCACGGAGCUAUUUUUUCAAAAGUACCCCGAGAAUCUCGCAAUUUUCCUAUGGUUAAUUUGAAAUUCACCGGUUCUACCUAUUCCUCUUAUUUGUGUAUAAAUGUGUUACUAACGAAAUUUUCUUUGCAGAAGACAUCCAGUUUUCUCCACACCUAGUGAUGCGAUAUCUAUUUGUUUUUCUUAUCAGUGAGCACUUAAUAUGCCCGAGAAGCAAGACUAUCUCUGAUCAUCCAUUCAGGAAGCGAUCCUGAUCACGUUUCCGCCACAUCAGGGAACUGUGAAGGCAACCUUAUGCUCUAAUCUCCGGAAGUUCUUCUAAACUAGAAGAAAUGAGAGCUGGUUGUUUGCUCCCACCAGCUUCCUUCCUUGAUUGCUGAGCUUGUUGUCUGCUCCCACCAGCUUCCUUCCUUGAUUGCUUACCUUCUCUUGCAAUCAAUAUCACAUUAUUUUUGCAUUUUUUCUCUUUUUAUAACUCUCUGUUCAUAAGAGAUUUUAUUUCUUUAGAAUGAACAUCUGAAGAAAGAAUCUAUGGAGUGAUCCUAACUCUGAGGGUUAUUUGUUUUUGACAUAGAAAAGAGUUGUGAUUUUGCUCUUGCAGGAUAUAACUAGAUCAGCAAGCGCUACAUUAUAUUUACUGGGCCGAUACGAGCUUGAAUGAUACUUGAGAAAAGUUUCUCCCACCUAAGGAUGUAAGCAAUACUUGUGUUAUUUUAUGCUUAUAUACUUAUUUGAUAUUUUAUCUUGAAAGGUAACCAAAUAUGGAGAUAAGUCUGUUCCAAAAGAAUGGCUUGUAUGUAUCCACGAAUUUUUAAUGCAAAUUUUACAGAUUGCAAGUUGGAUACAUUGAUAAUACACUGCACAGAUUAAAGUCUCAUAAGAACAGAAUAUGGGUAUAGCAGUGAUCAAUAUGAUGCACGCCUGUUGCGUAGCAAAUGAUGUGGAUUGAAGUCCCGAAAGGACAAUCCUUUGACAUGUCAAUAUUGAUAUUAUGCACGCCUAAUGCGUAGCAAAUUAUAUGGGUUAAAGUCCCAUAAUAUGGGUUAAGGUCCCAGAAAUUAAUUGACAUGUAUGUAUUAAUCUGUGGCAUGCCUUCAGCAUGACAAAUAUAUGGGUUCUAAAUGUUCCAACUCCCUAAAUGGAGAUUAUCCACGCCCUACUGCUAAAUAACGCUCCAAUGGAGGUUAUAAUCCACAUUCUCACAUAAUAAAAGCCCCAUGAAGUGGCUUGGGUACCCAAAAGCAAAGAAAUGCUUAUAAUUGAUGCAUGUGCAUGCACAUGAGAAUGGUGGGAUCAUGAAUUGAUGAAUGACAAUUUUUGAUCAUGAAUUGAUGAAUGACAAUUUUUGAUUUUGGAGUAGCUACUCAAAUCAUCAAUGGGCUGUGUUGAUUGGAACCACGUUCAAUUAUUAAAUGUCGACAAUAUUAUUGGCCAAAAUGGAAUGAGGUAAUUCCAUUAUAGAUGAGAAUGAACGUGAAAGAACAAACCCACAGUACGAACCCCAAAAGAUGUUAAUACUGAAAUUUAUACUUGGGUGUUCGGAAUAAAAGGGAAUAUACCUACUUUGUAUGACACACUGUUUCUGGCAGAAACAAGGAAUGUUGGGUUUUCUCCAUAUUUACAGAUUCAAUUGUGCCCCCCCUUAUUACACAAUUACGGAGACCAACAUAUUAUCUUUAAGGGUUAUUAAAUGCACGGAGCAUAUCGCCAGAAGCGAUUUCCUAAAGAUAUAUAAAUAGCUGGGUAAAAGCUAUAUAAUGUGUCAUAAAGUUUAAUCCCCUUUAGACAAAAUCCGUUUGAGAGGAUUGACAUUGCAUAAAGCAAGUCCCUAAAGGACAUGUGCUUGAAGCACAAAAUUUGUACUCAAUAUUAAUAUGCAUAAUUUACCUCAGUGAGUACAUUGAUUAUAAUGUGAUUGCAACACAUUAAAGCUUCUGCAGAAUUCAUGAAAUAUUUGCCUUGAUCGAGCAUUAUGCCAACGAGAUUCUUGCUUAUACUAAGAGAGUCUAUCCGUUGGUCCUUAAAUAUUUUUCCGGAAGUAUACUAAACCAGAUAGAGCUCAGCUCCAUCACCACCACUUUAGGAUGGCUAGUCAUAAAUUUUUCAGGGGGAGCUUAGUUUUAAUAAAGACCUUCAUACACUGUACUCUUUUUCCUUUAUCCAGGUUUUUAUCCCACUGGAUUUUUCCUGGUAAGGUUUUAACGAGGCAGUGUCGCUCAAGAUUGACUCACAGAAGCAGUGUCAACUACGAUAUUCAGAAAGUUGAUCAACAGUAUGACUUAAAGAUAUUUUGCCGAGCAUCAGGGGGAGCGUGCUAUCAAUAAAGAUCUUCAAACACUGUACUCUUUUUCCUUCGUCCAGGUUUUUAUCCCACUGGGUUUUUCCUGGCAAGGUUUUAACGAGGCAGUGUCACACGCGCGUCAAUAUACAUAGAAUUUUAUGUUACACAUGAUUAUGUACUCUUUUUCCCUUUGACCAGUUUUUGUCCCACUGGGUUUUUACUGGCAAGGUUUUUAACGAGACAUAUUCCAUAUCAUUUGUGGUCUCCAAGGGGGAGUGUUGUAAAUAAUUAGGUGUGGAGCCCACAUGUUCCUUAGGUUUUGCCUACAAAAGGGUUCAUCCCUUCAUUGUAAUUGAGAAACACAGAAAUAUGAAUACAGAAGAGGAACCAAUCCAAGUUUUCCUCUGAUUCUAAAUUCUCUCCAAUUCCUCUUAAUUUAUAACAGUGAGCUUGUAGAUGUUGACUAUUUAGGUUUCCCAUCUGAUGCCGCUGUUCAUGGAAACCAAAUCAGCAAACUAUCAUAAAUAAGCCAAAAUUUAC